GGCUUGGGGACGGCGAUCUCCCCAUGAGGCGACAUGCCCAAGCAUCGCGUCCGGAUUCUGAGAAGGACGCAGCAUG
Molecule: non-coding RNA, 76 nt
Organism: Bradyrhizobium sp.
Lineage: Bacteria; Pseudomonadati; Pseudomonadota; Alphaproteobacteria; Hyphomicrobiales; Nitrobacteraceae
Source: Rfam